Molecule: long non-coding RNA, 95 nt
Organism: Alosa sapidissima (American shad)
Lineage: Eukaryota; Metazoa; Chordata; Actinopteri; Clupeiformes; Clupeidae
Exons: 4
Source: RefSeq, a predicted model, not a curated record
CCAUUUCAGAGUCCCCGCCUUGACGUAGCUUCCCGCUACCUAUAUCGCCACCAAACUCGGGCCCCAUGUUGUAGAAGUCGGCUUGUGUGUGUGCU